Long non-coding RNA from Podarcis raffonei (Aeolian wall lizard), 1494 nucleotides. RefSeq lists it as uncharacterized. The record is from RefSeq and is a predicted model, not a curated record. NCBI's taxonomy places the organism in Eukaryota, Metazoa, Chordata, Lepidosauria, Squamata, Lacertidae. The transcript has 2 exons.
UGCUGCAAAUACCUUGUCCACCAUCUAUAAAACAAAGUACUGGCAAGAACAGAGUUGCCUAUUUCUAAGGACUUCGCUUGCUAGCCUUUGAAGUAGCAAUAAAUAAUGAGCUGCAAUGAGAAUAAAAAAAGGGUAGCAUUCAGUUUUUCAUGUGUUGGAAGUUUUGUUUGGAUGAAUUACUGGAGAAGGAUGCCAGAAAAUGGGUUAAGCAUAUCUGUGUGUUUAAUUAAACACUAAAUGCAAAGGAUAAGUAUUGCCAUGCACUUAAGAGUUAAGUGGACCACUCUGCCAUAGUUUAGAAUAGGGGUAAGUCAACCUUUUUAUAUCUACCGCCCACUAAUGCAUCUUUAUUGAUGGUAAAAUUUCCCAGUGCUCGAUGGAAGGAGGAUUCAGCUUGUGCCGUAGAAUCCCCUACCGCCCACCUAGAACCCCCUACCACCCACUAGUGGGCGGUAGGGACCAGGUUGACAACCCCUGGUUUAGAAGGAUAGAUAUUUUACAGGGUUAUUUUUGCAAAAUCAUUUACUGUCAUGAACAAAGGGCAUAGCACUUAAUGCACAUCUCAUUCCAGUAGCGAACUCAAUUCCUUGGGAAUUUACUCAGUGAUGCUUUGGUUAAUAAUAAUAAUAAUAAUAUUUCUACCCUGCCUAUCUGGCUGGGUUUCACCAGCCACUCUGGGUGGCUUCCAGCAAAAUCUAUAAAGAUAAUAAAUAUCUGCUCUACAUCUACAAAUAUCAACGGUGUCUCUGCUCCAGUGGAUUAUCUGAUGUCAAAACUAGUUCAUUUCAUCUACAGGGAUAUUCAUGCGCUGCAGCCACACCUGGAGCGCAUGCAUCAAACUGCAUGGUGUGCUGAGUUACCACAUUUGAAGAGAGAAAGGAUAGCUCUGGGAUUCCACUAUUUCAAGGACUGUAAGAAUACCCCUUCACCCAGUAGUCUCUGCUGAGGCCAAUAGGCUGCUUUGCACGUGGUGCUGAACCACUACACAGAAUUCCACUUCGUAUGUUUACACAAUCCCUACAUAGAAGGAAGGCAUAGGAAAUGGAAGAGUUAAUGUACAUGUAGAUUGCGGUGUGUGCCAUCAUGACUGCAUGGGCGCAUGUUGGCACGCCACCGUUAACCACAUUCCCAACCCGUGUACAUGGCAGUGAUCCAGAUAUACAUAGGAUCAUGGCUAAGGUAUGGUCUACAUGCAUAAGAUAGUGUUCCUUAUGUGGAAGUCCCGUCUAUGCAAAUGUUUUGUGAUAUGUAAACCAAUCUGAACUCUUUGAGGAAUGGAAUAGCUCAUUUUUUGAUUGGUUAGAAUUUGGGCUUGGAAGAGGUCAUAAUGCAUUCCAAAAGCAGUGUCCUUGGUUGUCGUGCACAACUUCUGAACAAUUCAAAUGAGCAGAAAGUAUUAUUCCAUGACAAUGUCUGAUAAUCCUUUUGUUUCUUUUUGCUGAAAUUUGACUGUUAAAUUUUUACUCUGGUUUUGAAAGAAAGUUAAAUGUUUUA